UGUCGAGACUGGAUUAUAAAAUCAGUUCUAAGCCUUUAACCCCCAUCAGAACACUGAAUAAUUGAGAGGCCUAUGGACAGUGACAUUUAUGGAAAAGCAGGAAAAUAGAUGUCUAUUGAUGGGGCUGUAUUUCUGAUCAUAGUUCAUGGCUUCUUUCAGUGGUGGAGUUAACAUUACCUGCUUGAUGUCAGGUGCUGCAGUGAUUGCUGCCAGAUGGUCCCAUGAUGAUGGUCUCAAGUCUCCUGUGCCCAUGAUAGCUCUUUUGCUGAAAUGAGGAUUGCUCUGACCCCUGGUUGAACUCAUCAGCUGAAAUGAAGUUGUUCAGUGAGCUGGAGAAGACAAAGCUGAGUUCCAAGAAAUUAAUCAACUCCAUCAGCCUCUGCGAUAGGCCUGGAAAUGGCACACAUCAGACUGACCCUGAGCAGCUCUGGAUUCCCUCCGUAAAUGAAAGUCAUCAUUCCUGGCAAGGAAGAUACUAAAUUAUAGGCUUUUAAAUUUAAUUUUCAGCUUACUUGUGUUUUCGAUUAGUGUGCCAUGUUUCAUAAAGAUAGUAGUACCUUUAAGUAGUAAAUGUCCUUCAUAUACCAGCUCAGUUCCUGUUGUAAUAAAAAGGUAAAUUUGAAGUAAAAACUGUU
Molecule: long non-coding RNA, 635 nt
Organism: Gallus gallus (chicken)
Lineage: Eukaryota; Metazoa; Chordata; Aves; Galliformes; Phasianidae
Source: Ensembl